This 217-nucleotide ribosomal RNA is filed under the name uncultured archaeon. RNAcentral describes it as "partial 16S ribosomal RNA". It matches the Rfam family "Archaeal small subunit ribosomal RNA", at positions 368 to 587 of the family's 1478-position model. The record is from RNAcentral.
UGACCGAGGGAUUCCAAGUGCCUAUGCUAUGCGUAGGCUGUUUUUAUGUCUAAAUAACAUGGAGAGUAAGAGCUGGGUAAGACGGGUGCCAGCCGCCGCGGUAAUACCUGCAGCUCGAGUGGUAACCGCUAUUAUUGGGCCUAAAGCGUCCGUAGCCGGUUUGGUAAAUAUCUGGGUAAAUCGUGAGGCUUAACUUCACGAAUCUCGGAUAGACUGC